CGUAGGUGGCAAGCGUUGUCCGGAUUUAUUGGGCGUAAAGCGAGUGCAGGCGGCUCGAUAAGUCUGAUGUGAAAGCCUUCGGCUCAACCGGAGAAUUGCAUCAGAAACUGUCGAGCUUGAGUACAGAAGAGGAGAGUGGAACUCCAUGUGUAGCGGUGAAAUGCGUAGAUAUAUGGAAGAACACCGGUGGCGAAGGCGGCUCUCUGGUCUGUUACUGACGCUGAGGCUCGAAAGCAUGGGUAGCGAACAGGAUUAGAUACCCUGGUAGUC
Molecule: ribosomal RNA, 270 nt
Filed under: uncultured Lactobacillaceae bacterium
Lineage: Bacteria; Bacillati; Bacillota; Bacilli; Lactobacillales; Lactobacillaceae
Description: partial 16S ribosomal RNA
Rfam family: Bacterial small subunit ribosomal RNA
Source: RNAcentral